Felis catus (domestic cat) is the source of this 438-nucleotide long non-coding RNA. RefSeq lists it as uncharacterized. Lineage: Eukaryota; Metazoa; Chordata; Mammalia; Carnivora; Felidae. The transcript is spliced from 3 exons. The record is from RefSeq and is a predicted model, not a curated record.
CCUGAGUAAAAAUCAACAGCCAGACAUCGAAACAACUGAGCCACCCAAGCACCCCAGGCUAUAGUGGAAAAGGAAAAAGAGUGGGAGAAGAUUCCAGAGGACUGCAGAGAAUCUGGGACUGCACUGAGGAAAGCUUCUGGAGCUAACCCCACCCUGUCAGGCAAAUGAGUACCACUAACAAGCCAUGUGAUGAAAGUGAAUCCUAUAUUGUCACUGCUACUAUUCCAGCCAACAUAUCCAAAGAAUCUCGGGUUGCCAUAAUUAACACAGAGGAUCGCCUCGGACCCUACGUACCUAGACCUAGGAUCAUGAAAGUCAGCGAAUGCUGGCAGUGACAGCCUGAACUGUUACUGCCACUUCACAUCCUCUUUCUGAGCAACGUUGUAGUUCCCCCCACAACAAUAAAAACUGUACUUCCUUGACCUUUGAGUUCAGCUU